AUUGAACGCUGGCGGCAUGAUUUACACAUGCAAGUCGAACGGUAACAGGCCGCAAGGUGCUGACGAGUGGCGAACGGGUGAGUAAUGCAUCGGAACGUGCCCAGUCGUGGGGGAUGACUACUCGAAAGAGUAGCUAAUACCGCAUACGAUCUAUGGAUGAAAGCGGGGGACCGUAAGGCCUCGCGCGAUUGGAGCGGCCGAUGUCAGAUUAGGUAGUUGGUGGGGUAAAGGCUCACCAAGCCAACGAUCUGUAGCUGGUCUGAGAGGACGACCAGCCACACUGGGACUGAGACACGGCCCAGACUCCUACGGGAGGCAGCAGUGGGGAAUUUUGGACAAUGGGCGCAAGCCUGAUCCAGCAAUGCCGCGUGCAGGAAGAAGGCCUUCGGGUUGUAAACUGCUUUUGUACGGAACGAAACGGCUCUGGUUAAUACCCGGGGCUAAUGACGGUACCGUAAGAAUAAGCACCGGCUAACUACGUG
Molecule: ribosomal RNA, 482 nt
Filed under: uncultured bacterium
Lineage: Bacteria
Description: partial 16S ribosomal RNA
Rfam family: Bacterial small subunit ribosomal RNA
Source: RNAcentral